This 426-nucleotide ribosomal RNA is filed under the name Triticum aestivum (bread wheat). RNAcentral describes it as "partial small subunit ribosomal RNA". The record is from RNAcentral. Lineage: Eukaryota; Viridiplantae; Streptophyta; Magnoliopsida; Poales; Poaceae.
UUUAGGAGGACUUUGUGGGGAGAUACUUUAGCACAAUGGGAAGAAAUCAAGCAGGAAUGUGCUGAUGUGUCCUUAAGUGAUUCUAAAGAUGAAUUAAUAUGGUCCCUUAGUGCUAGUGGUAAAUACUAUGUCAAAUCCUUCUAUAGCCAGCUGAUUGUUAAUAAUCUAAACUUUCCUUUCAAAUAUAUGUGGAAGAUAAAAGUUCCUCUAAAAAUUAAAAUCUUUGUUUGGCUGAUAAUGAGAAGUAGCAUUCUCACCAAACAUAACCACCUGAGGAGGGGUGGUACAUGGUCUGGAGACUCCGAGUGUGUGUUCGGUGGGCAAGAGGAAACAAUUGACCACCUGUUUCUAAAAUGCUCAGUUGCAAAGUUUUCGUGGUGUAUACUUCAGAAUUCUUUUGGUCCGGGGUGCUACCUGAUGACCUGA